RNAcentral lists this ribosomal RNA (446 nucleotides) under uncultured bacterium. RNAcentral describes it as "bacterial SSU rRNA". It matches the Rfam family "Bacterial small subunit ribosomal RNA", at positions 331 to 795 of the family's 1533-position model. The record is from RNAcentral.
CCAGACUCCUACGGGAGGCAGCAGUGGGGAAUAUUGCACAAUGGGGGAAACCCUGAUGCAGCGACGCCGCGUGAGUGAAGAAGUAUUUCGGUAUGUAAAGCUCUAUCAGCAGGGAAGAAAAUGACGGUACCUGAUUAAGAAGCCCCGGCUAACUACGUGCCAGCAGCCGCGGUAAUACGUAGGGGGCAAGCGUUAUCCGGAUUUACUGGGUGUAAAGGGAGCGUAGACGGUUAUGCAAGUCUGGGGUGAAAGGCGGGGGCGCACCCCCGGGGAGCCGUUGAAGCUGGCGGGCUGGAGUUGGAGAGAAGUACGCGGAAUGCGCGGUGUAGCGGUGAAAUGCUUAGAUAUCGCGCAGAGCCCCGAUUGCGAAGGCAGCGUACCGGCUCCACACUGACGCUGAGGCACGAAAGCGUGGGUAUCGAACAGGAUUAGAUACCCGGGUAAGC